Molecule: ribosomal RNA, 497 nt
Filed under: uncultured bacterium
Lineage: Bacteria
Description: partial 16S ribosomal RNA
Rfam family: Bacterial small subunit ribosomal RNA
Source: RNAcentral
GAUGAACGCUGGCGGCGUGCCUAAUACAUGCAAGUCGAGCGAACAGACGAGGAGCUUGCUCCUCUGACGUUAGCGGCGGACGGGUGAGUAACACGUGGAUAACCUACCUAUAAGACUGGGAUAACUUCGGGAAACCGGAGCUAAUACCGGAUAAUAUAUUGAACCGCAUGGUUCAAUAGUGAAAGACGGUUUUGCGGUCACUUAUAGAUGGAUCCGCGCCGCAUUAGCUAGUUGGUAAGGUAACGGCUUACCAAGGCAACGAUGCGUAGCCGACCUGAGAGGGUGGUCGGCCACACUGGAACUGAGACACGGUCCAGACUCCUACGGGAGGCAGCAGUAGGGAAUCUUCCGCAAUGGGCGAAAGCCUGACGGAGCAACGCCGCGUGAGUGAUGAAGGUCUUCGGAUCGUAAAACUCUGUUAUUAGGGAAGAACAAAUGUGUAAGUAACUAUGCACGUCUUGACGGUACCUAAUCAGAAAGCCACGGCUAACUACGUG